AAUUCUCAACCAUCCUGUCUUUCUUUCGAGAGGCGGCGAUGCGUUGGAUGUGGGGACUUGCCUGUUUCUUACGAGACUUCGGCUUCCCUUAAAAGCAUUAGCUAGAGCGCUUCUGUUGACUAGCUGCUAGUGUGAUAAUUAUCUACACUGUGGCCAACGAAGGAAACUCUGCUUCUAAUCGUCUGCUUGCAGACAACUUCUGAUA
This 205-nucleotide unclassified non-coding RNA is filed under the name Bolbitius titubans. Its description in RNAcentral is "partial internal transcribed spacer 2". The record is from RNAcentral. Lineage: Eukaryota; Fungi; Basidiomycota; Agaricomycetes; Agaricales; Bolbitiaceae.